This is a long non-coding RNA of Mytilus californianus (California mussel), 415 nucleotides long. RefSeq lists it as uncharacterized. NCBI's taxonomy places the organism in Eukaryota, Metazoa, Mollusca, Bivalvia, Mytilida, Mytilidae. The transcript has 3 exons. The record is from RefSeq and is a predicted model, not a curated record.
GCUGAUUGAUUCGUUCUUUUUUAUUUGUGGAGAGAAAUUUAUUCAAUACGACAAUGGUACCAAGAAUCUCCGUUUUGUUUGCCUUAUUCUUAAUUUGUAAAGUUAAUGCUCAGCGUUCUGUAAAACAGUUUAGUCGUAGCAGUAAGUCAAAUGCUUCAGCUUCCAAAUCCACAGUAUCAGAAGUUGUUAGUAAUAAUGUUCAAAGAAGAGUACCAGUGGUUCAGAACACUGAUUUCGGUUUAGCGAGUGCUUCAAAUAAACUAUUCCCAUCACAAAUGCAGAGCAAUUCUUUUAGGGAUAUUGUAGAUUUGACACAUAACAGAAACAGAAACGCGGGUUUAGAUCGCCAAAACAAUCAACUACAAACACUUCUAGAUUUGAAUGACAUUACAGCUAUGGAAACAUCUAUUAAAGA